AUGCAGUCGACGGUGAACCCUUUCGAGGGUGGAUCAUGGCGAACGGGUGAGUAACACGUGAGCAACCUGCCCCCUACUUCGGGAUAAGCCUUGGAAACGGGGUCUAAUACCGGAUAUGAGCGCCUGCCGCAUGGUGGGUGUUGGAAAGUUUUUCGGUGGGGGAUGGGCUCGCGGCCUAUCAGCUUGUUGGUGGGGUAAUGGCCUACCAAGGCGUCGACGGGUAGCCGGCCUGAGAGGGCGACCGGCCACACUGGGACUGAGACACGGCCCAGACUCCUACGGGAGGCAGCAGUGGGGAAUAUUGCACAAUGGGCGAAAGCCUGAUGCAGCGACGCCACGUGAGGGAUGACGGCCUUCGGGUUGUAAACCUCUUUCAGCAGGGAAGAAGCGUGAGUGACGGUACCUGCAGAAGAAGCGCCGGCUAACUACGUGCCAGCAGCCGCGGUAAUACGUAGGGCGCAAGCGUUGUCCGGAAUUAUUGGGCGUAAAGAGCUCGUAGGCGGUCUGUCGCGUCUGGUGUGAAAUCCCAUGGCUCAACUGUGGGCUUGCAUCGGGUACGGGCAGACUAGAGUGCUGUAGGGGAGACUGGAAUUCCUGGUGUAGCGGUGGAAUGCGCAGAUAUCAGGAGGAACACCGAUGGCGAAGGCAGGUCUCUGGGCAGUUACUGACGCUGAGGAGCGAAAGCAUGGGGAGCGAACAGGAUUAGAUACCCUGGUAGUCCAUGCCGUAAACGUUGGGCACUAGGUGU
RNAcentral lists this ribosomal RNA (748 nucleotides) under Micromonospora sp. LC-2009-5.4. RNAcentral's name for it is "bacterial SSU rRNA". It matches the Rfam family "Bacterial small subunit ribosomal RNA", at positions 55 to 823 of the family's 1533-position model. The record is from RNAcentral. Lineage: Bacteria; Bacillati; Actinomycetota; Actinomycetes; Micromonosporales; Micromonosporaceae.